GGUGUGGCUCAGCUUGGCUAGAGCGCCUGCUUUGGGAGCAGGAAGCCGCAGGUUCGAAUCCUGUCACC
This 68-nucleotide transfer RNA is filed under the name bovine gut metagenome. It matches the Rfam family "tRNA". Rfam says of the family: Transfer RNA (tRNA) molecules are approximately 80 nucleotides in length. The record is from RNAcentral.